UGGACAAAUUAUUGUAUUCGGCUGUAUUCACGGCAUGAAACAGGGGAAUACAUUGUUUUUAAACGGAAAGUGAAUCAAUUAACAUAAUAGACUCCU
This 96-nucleotide microRNA precursor is filed under the name Nicotiana sylvestris (wood tobacco). Its description in RNAcentral is "MIR6152 microRNA precursor family". It matches the Rfam family "MIR6152 microRNA precursor family". The record is from Rfam by way of RNAcentral. RNAcentral also lists the same sequence under 1 other name. Lineage: Eukaryota; Viridiplantae; Streptophyta; Magnoliopsida; Solanales; Solanaceae.